AUCAGCUGUAUCUAAACAGAGCAGAGCUCAGGUGACAUCACAGAACAGGCAGAGGCAGUUCAGGGGUAUUCUGGUUGCCUUACCCAGCUCUGAAGUCUGUCAGCCUCUUCAGAUGUCACUUGCCAUGUGGUAAGGAAGUGUAGUCAGCAGCUGGUGCAGUGGGAAGAAGAGAAAGGAAGUUCCCCAAGACAAAAACAUCUCGGCAGACCGUGAUCAUGGGCUACAUUCUCCGUACCAGCUUCAUAGCUCCAGUGAGAAAAUAAAUUCCUGCAUCCAGGAGAUGUGGAGUAAGAGAUACAGCUGCCCUUGACCAUAUUUCUUACUUCCGAGAAGAUCGUAGCAGUAAUUCAGAAUCUCAUCCAGGAUACCUCAUCACAGGCUGGAGUGCAGUGUCAUGAGCUUGGCUCACUACAGCCUCCAUCUUCUGUGCUUAAGGAUCCUUCCCUCUCAACCUCCAAGGUAGCUGAGACUACAGGCAACAUUCGAAACCCAGGUGCCACUCCUUCAGGAAGGUACCAUCAAGCUCCAAGGACUCAUCCUCUUUCUCCUUCCCCACUACCUAGUCAUUAGAGCGUCAGCAUCCACUUCCUGAAAGGAAGAUGCCUGUUUUUCACAUAUCCCAGAAAGCCUCAUUUUAGGACAGCAUUUAGCAGAGUGUAUUCAGGAUCCCACUAACCUUUUCGGAAGACAUGACUUCCAGAUGAUAUAAGGCAAGAAUAAGAAAUUUCAGUGACAGGGAACAGAAAUCAUAUUUCUGCAUUCAGGAUCAUGUUUUCUUGGCUCCAUCAGGAACUGUGCAGGACUGUGCACUCUGUUGAUACUCACAUGGUGGAAUUAUAUUGCCCUUGGCCAACCCUAAAGCCAUCAAGAUAGCAGGUUUGGAAUAAUUCACUGUCGAAGUCUUCUUGAGCUGAGCAGUCAUGUGAGCUUGGAAGAUGAUCCCUCUCCAGCUGAUCCUUCAGCUCAGGCCAUCAUCUACAUCUGGAUUCCUGACCCGGAGAAACUAUGAGUAAUGUGUGCUGCUUUUGAGCCACUAAGCUACAUGAAUUAAUGAAGGAUCAUUAUUAAGUUUUUAAUGGGUCAAGAGAAAGUUACCACUGAGGUCUUCUCUACCUGGGCAACAAUUGACUCCUAACAACCACUAUAAGCUUGGAAGAUGAUCCCUCCCCAGCUGAUCCUUCAGGCUGGAGUGCCGUGGCACAAUUAUGGUUCACCAGCCUCAACCUCCUGGGAUCAAGCAAUCGUCUCACCUCAGCCUCCUGAGUAGCUGGACUGCAGGUACCCACAAGUAGGGUUGACCACAGUAACAAGUAAGCAAGCAAAACAUUUUGUGAAAACCGUGAAGCAUCUUCCUCUGCAGUGACUUAUCAAAAGGGCCCUUUAGCCUAUCUACUGUGGUGUUCUAAAAGGAAGAAAGAGGCUAGUAAAUCCUGGAUACUUUGCUCCUACACCAAUAUUCCCAGCUGUACCUUGAAAUAAAAGGAUUUAGAACUUUAGAACAUUGCUGUUGUUGCUUAUGUCUCUAAUGUUCUCUUGAAUCUUGACAAUCCCCGAACACUGCUCCCCGCUUUAUUUGUUUAGUCCAGUCCCAGUGAAAUAAAUUAGAUGUCAAGGCUCCUCAUUAUGGUUGCCUGGUUUUUGG
RNAcentral lists this long non-coding RNA (1642 nucleotides) under Homo sapiens (human). Its description in RNAcentral is "HSALNT0379884". Lineage: Eukaryota; Metazoa; Chordata; Mammalia; Primates; Hominidae. The record is from RNAcentral.